This 253-nucleotide ribosomal RNA is filed under the name uncultured bacterium. Its description in RNAcentral is "partial 16S ribosomal RNA". It matches the Rfam family "Bacterial small subunit ribosomal RNA", at positions 524 to 776 of the family's 1533-position model. The record is from RNAcentral.
UACGGAGGGUGCAAGCAUUAAUCGGAAUUAUUGGGCGUAAAGGGCGCGUAGGCGGAUUUGUAAGUCAGAUGUGAAAUUCCGGGGCUCAACCUCGGAACUGCAUUUGAAACUACAUAUCUAGAGGAUUGGCGGAGAAAACGGAAUUCCACGUGUAGCGGUGAAAUGCGUGGAUAUGUGGAAGAACACCGGUGGCGAAAGCGGUUUUCUAGCUUAUUCCUGACGCUGAUGCGCGAGAGCAAGGGGAGCAAACAGG